GCAGGUCUCGCCACCGGGAUGCUCCGCGCCGGGUUGUGCCGUGCCGGGCUGCGGGGUGAGCCGGAGGAUGGAGCAGGUGCCGCGGCUCCGAGCUGGACAGGCGGUGGCCACUCCAGGGUAUCAGUGGGACAUGGGAAUCCCUCCAGCCCCCGAAACACCCCAGCCUGCUGCCACAGGGCCCCUGUGUCCAUGUGGAUGGGCAGGGGCACCAAGGGCAGGGCAGAUAUUUCCCAUUCCUCCCAGUCCUGCAUUAUGCACCAGGCACCUGCAUCCCUGUUCUGAACAAAACACGUUCCCCUCUCCUGGAUGCAUAUUCACUCCAUUCUGUGCUCUUCACAGCGAGAACAAAAAGGAAGAUACGUUGGGUUUGCAUGUCUACAUGAGCCAUCUGCUUCUAUUUUAUUGAUGAAACCUGUAACAGCAGCAUUCUCCAUGACAAAAUAAGACUGUGGCUAAGGUGUGGACAGCUGUGUGUGUGCAGGGGUAGUUUCAGCCCAGAAUUCUGCAGAAGCUGGGUUUAAUGUUGAUUUUUUUUUCCAGUCAGAUAUCAUCUAGACAUUAGUAUUCCUAACACAGCAUAUAAUUAGCAAGAGGCAAUAUAUUGUAUGAUCAUGCACAUUAGCACUUAAGUAGAAUAAAAAAUGUUUCAUUGUCA
RNAcentral lists this long non-coding RNA (655 nucleotides) under Parus major (Great Tit). Its description in RNAcentral is "lncRNA (ENSPMJG00000001807.1)". Lineage: Eukaryota; Metazoa; Chordata; Aves; Passeriformes; Paridae. The record is from RNAcentral.